GGGAUUCCCCUAGUAACGGCGAGUGAAGCGGGAACAGCUCAAAUUUGAAAUCUGGCCCUUGGGUCCGAGUUGUAAUUUGCAGAGGAUGCUUUUGGUGCGGUGCCUUCCGAGUUCCCUGGAACGGGACGCCUUAGAGGGUGAGAGCCCCGUACGGUUGGCCACCAAGCCUGUGUAAAGCUCCUUCGACGAGUCGAGUAGUUUGGGAAUGCUGCUCAAAAUGGGAGGUAUAUUUCUUCUAAAGCUAAAUACUGGCCAGAGACCGAUAGCGCACAAGUAGAGUGAUCGAAAGAUGAAAAGCACUUUGAAAAGAGGGUUAAAUAGCACGUGAAAUUGUUGAAAGGGAAGGAUUUAUGACCAGACUUUUUCUGGGGGGAUCAUCCGGUGUUCUCACCGGUGCACUUCCCCCAGUUGAGGCCAGCAUCGGUUUCUGCCGGGGGAUAAAAGCUUUGGGAAUGUGGCUCCUUCGGGAGUGUUAUAGCCCGUUGCAUAAUACCCUGGCGGGGACCGAGGUUCGCGCAUUGCAAGGAUGCUGGCGUAAUGGUUAUUAAUCACCCGUCUUGAAACACGGACCAAGGAGUCGAACAUUUGUGCGAGUGUUUGGGUGUUAAACCCUCACGCGUAAUGAAAGUGAACGGAGGUGAGAGCCUUUAGGGGUGCAUCAUCGACCGAUCCUGAUGUCUUCGGAUGGAUUUGAGUAAGAGCAUAACUGUUCGGACCCGAAAGAUGGUGAACUAUGCGUGGAUAGGGUGAAGCCAGAGGAACUCUGGUGGAGGCUCGCAGCGGUUCUGACGUGCAAAUCGAUCGUCAAAUCUGC
This 814-nucleotide ribosomal RNA is filed under the name Apiospora arundinis. RNAcentral's name for it is "Arthrinium arundinis partial large subunit ribosomal RNA". It matches the Rfam family "Eukaryotic large subunit ribosomal RNA", at positions 71 to 914 of the family's 3401-position model. Lineage: Eukaryota; Fungi; Ascomycota; Sordariomycetes; Amphisphaeriales; Apiosporaceae. The record is from RNAcentral.